UCAAAGGAUUUAUUAUGCCAACUCUAUUAAACCUUUCAAUCUGAUUAAUUACCAUUAUUGAUUACACUAACAUAUACUCAUUUAGUACCAGGAGGUAUGCCCAAAAUCCUGGUUUGCAGGAAGUCCAGAAUCCUCCAAUAUGGAUUUCUGGAAAGCCAAGGAAUUUCAUAUGCAUGCAAUCCAUCCUAACUAGCCGAAGAAGCAGGAAUGCCAUCUAGAGGUUUUCUGUGGUGCUUAGGUCUCAGGACUCAGUCAGCCCAAUUCUGCUAUUUCUCUUCAUAAACUGGUCUUUCCAACAAUCGCACCAGAUCAUUGAAUGUCAGCUUUGUUUCAGAGCUGAUCUCAUGGGUGAAGAAACACUGUACGCCAUACUGUUCACUGUGUCGAUAGGUGAUCCCUCCCCUUAAAUUUGAGACAAACCCUGGAAUUGACAGAAUUUAGUCGUGACAAGCCUGAAGUACGACUGUGUGCAGUCUUAAACCUAAAAUCUAAAGCUUGUGUCUUGCCAGGGAACCUGGCACAGAAAAGGAAUUUAUGCCUUGAGAAGAUCUUGUUUGAUUUAUUUUAUCUUACUUAACACUAAGGACUGUUGGACACCGAGACGGCAAGGUCCUGUGCCUGUGGGAACCAGGGUGUGUCCUAAGUGGCACCACAUGCCCUACAUAGGGCACUAAUCUAGACAAUAGCAGUGCAAAAAAGGCCAAAGGACUUCAUUUGGGAAGCGACCCAAAUGUUUAAAGGUAGACUUCGGGCGCACGGGAAUCAUUACAGGAAGAAGAUUACAAGAGAGGUGGUUGGAAGCCCAGUAUUGUAGAACCCUCCAGGUGACACCUUCAGGAAGGUAAAAUGGAUCAAUCCAAAAGCACCGCUGAGGCCCAGCCGCCACCAUACUCUUAUCCGGACUACGGGCAAAAGAACGCCGGUGGUCAAGACAACUAUGGUCAGAACACCUUUGGCCAUCCCCAGGAUAGUGUGGGCAUUGGCCCUGGCAACAUAGCCGUGGUCUGCCCCGCGGGUCAGUACGGUAACAACGACCAGGGUUCCUCCGAGGACCAGCCCCCACCACCACCCUGGUAUUCUUGUGGCAUGGAAGACGCAAACUGUUUUGACGACAAGGCCAUACGAAGAGGCUUUAUAAAGAAGGUGUACCUAACCCUGAUGAUUCAGCUCCUAAUCACCAUUGGGAUCAUGUGUGCCUUUCUGUAUUGGGAGACUCUGAGGGAAUGGUCUCGCAGAACGUAUUGGUUGCCAUACACCAUGAUGGGAGUGGUGCUUGUCCUUUCCAUAGCCUUGUCUUGCAGUGGACAUUUACGCCGGCAGGUCCCACAUAAUUUCCUAGCCUUGGGAUUGUUUACCCUUGCAGAAGGAGUCCUGCUUGGCUCAGUGUCUGCGUACUUCGAAGUAGAAGCAGUGAUGUGGGCAGUUGGUGCCACAGCACUGGUCUGCUUGGCCCUGAGUUUGUUCUCCUUGCAGUCCAGAGUAAGUCGUCUCUAUACAUAUAGACAGAUAGCUCACACUGAAUCCUCGAAAUUGCCAUGUCCUAUAAAGGCAUCGGUAGGCUCGUUAAGUAGUGGUUUUCCUUCUGUACUUCCAUGUUUUUGUGUGCUGAUAAUACAUCAAAGAAAACAGUGCCCAACACCUUCAUACACUGAAAAUUGGCCAAACGUUUCUAAAAACAAGCUAGGUUGUCUACUUCCAACUGCUGUCGUGGAAUGUUAGUUCAGUUUAAGUCAUUGGUCAACACCUCUAACUGACCUGACUGGAAUUCCCAAUUGCCAUUGUGGGUCCCAUCUAUAUAAUUACUACAAAAUGAAGAUAGGGGUCAAUGGCUGCCCAUGCUGUAAAAGGAUCUACCCAUCACAAGACCUGUUUCUAAGUGUGGUUUGUCAUCACAUAUCUUGUUGGGUUGGCCCACCACGGAUAUAAAAUGAUUAGACAAUUGGGUUUAAUGAGUGUUCAGCUUUUAUUUCCCUGAUGAUGCAUGGUCUCACUGGAUUGUUAUAAAAGAGGUAAUAUAAUUAAGCAAUGUGGUAUGACUACCAACGCAAGUGGAGCAGUAAAAAGUAAUAUGAUGUGAUACCUGCGGUAUACAUCUGCUGGAGCUACUGUCCCCGCGACCUGAUACUGGAUAAGCGGAUGAAGAUGAGAUGAGACCUGAGGUAUACGUCCUCAUAUCAGCCAAUAUUAUGUGGGACUUCACCAAGUGCAACACAAUCCUUUGGGUGUUUCUUUGGGUUGCCAUAUCGUAUGGAUUGCUGUACGCCAUCAUGCC
RNA transcript from Esox lucius (northern pike), 2272 nucleotides. RefSeq lists it as uncharacterized. NCBI's taxonomy places the organism in Eukaryota, Metazoa, Chordata, Actinopteri, Esociformes, Esocidae. The transcript is spliced from 8 exons. The record is from RefSeq and is a predicted model, not a curated record.